GAUGAACGCUAGCGGCAGGCCUAAUACAUGCAAGUCGAACGGCAGUAGAACCAGCAAUGGGACUAUGAGAGUGGCGAACGGGUGCGUAACGCGUAUGCAACUUACCUCCAACUGGGGAAUAGCCCUGGGAAACCGGGAUUAACACCGCAUAAGAUGGUAGAACCGCAUGGUUCAGCCAUUAAAGUUUACGGUUGGAGAUGGGCAUGCGUGCCAUUAGCUAGUUGGCGGGGUAAUAGCCCACCAAGGCGAC
This 250-nucleotide ribosomal RNA is filed under the name uncultured bacterium. RNAcentral describes it as "partial 16S ribosomal RNA". It matches the Rfam family "Bacterial small subunit ribosomal RNA", at positions 28 to 277 of the family's 1533-position model. The record is from RNAcentral.